This 202-nucleotide long non-coding RNA is filed under the name Salvia miltiorrhiza (redroot sage). Its description in RNAcentral is "long non-coding RNA (SMIL_LNC009393)". Lineage: Eukaryota; Viridiplantae; Streptophyta; Magnoliopsida; Lamiales; Lamiaceae. The record is from RNAcentral.
GUUGGAUUAAAGGAUGUAUUUAGUAAUGGUGGUUAUUAAUUUAUUUUAUAUUUAGAACAUUUACAUUGGGCAUGGCUCAUCGUCGGCUCGAGCCGACCUUUGCGAUGAGCUAAGUCCAUGCCAAGUAAUGGAGACUCGAGGCGCAACUCAUGCUUAAGCGCAUGACUCUUUCGGCGAAAAUUAAUGGCCUGUGUCUGGAUAA